This 148-nucleotide small nuclear RNA is filed under the name Zalophus californianus (California sea lion). RNAcentral describes it as "U2 spliceosomal RNA (ENSZCAG00015006259.1)". It matches the Rfam family "U2 spliceosomal RNA". From Rfam's summary of the family: U2 is a small nuclear RNA (snRNA) component of the spliceosome (involved in pre-mRNA splicing). Complementary binding between U2 snRNA (in an area lying towards the 5' end but 3' to hairpin I) and the branchpoint sequence (BPS) of the intron results the bulging out of an unpaired adenosine, on the BPS, which initiates a nucleophilic attack at the intronic 5' splice site, thus starting the first of two transesterification reactions that mediate splicing. The record is from RNAcentral. Lineage: Eukaryota; Metazoa; Chordata; Mammalia; Carnivora; Otariidae.
AUCGCUUCUCGGCCUUUUGGCUAAGAUCAAGUGUAUAUUGGAACUCAGUUUAUUUUAAUGAUAAAUUUUGAUCCAGGCAAGUGGCCUGUGCUGUCCCACAUUUUGUAUAAGAUUUUUUUUAAGUCACUUAAAUAGUGGAAGAAUGUCU